Molecule: long non-coding RNA, 406 nt
Filed under: Brassica napus (rape)
Lineage: Eukaryota; Viridiplantae; Streptophyta; Magnoliopsida; Brassicales; Brassicaceae
Description: long non-coding RNA (BNAP_LNC017524)
Source: RNAcentral
AGUUAAAUAUGUAUAAUGAGUUUAUUGAAAAAGAUGUUGAAUACUAUGUGGAUUACAUUGUAUUAAGGGGGGUGUAUUGAACUAAUGAUUUUAGAAUGCUUUGGUGGGUUUUACAAUUAUUGGAAUUUAAAGUGAUUUUAGGUGAUAACUCUGUAAUUUUGUUUGGAUUUUAGAAAGAUCGGUGUUUUGGUAAAAAAACUGUAUUUUAAGUUUCAGAGUGUUUUGGGUGACUUGGGAGAAAACCACUAUAUUUUUCUAAAGGUGAAAUUUUGGGAGAGCUUCGACCAAAAAAAAAAAAAAAUUAUGGGAAAGCUAUUGGAGUUAUGCUUCAAUGGAAGCUCAAUUAUACAUGAGCUUUAAAUUCACGCCUUUCAAAUUUUACACAGAUGGUAAAACAAACAAAAAA